ACACAGAAAAUACAAUGAAGCAUUUAAAAAGAAAAUUAAACAUUAAAAGGUGGUAAAACAUUUAAAAAGAAAAACCUUAAAGAUUUAAUCGAAACAUUAAAUAUUGGGAAAGAAAAAGAAACUCAAACAAGCCGAUAAAGCAUUUAAAAAAACAAAUAACAUUAAAAAGACAAAACAUCUGGAAAUCAAAUCAGACAUUAGAAAAGAAUAAAAGGUGAGAAAAGAGCAAAACUAAACGUUUAAGAAGAAUCAAACUAAAGACAAAACAUUUCAAAAGACACCAGUUAGACUUUAGAAGAUCAAAUUAAACAGAAGAGACAAUAAAACGAUCAAAAAGAGCAAAAACAGAUAAAGGUCUGAAAGCGUUUUCUAGUCUGAAAUGAAAACAUCAAGUUGUUUCUUCAAACAUUUCCUCUUUCUAUGUUCUUAGUUUGAUUGUGGAAAGAUUUACUAAGAAUUCAUUUCAGAAAACUGCUUUCCAGAUAAAGUCUACUAGUAGUUGAAGGCAUUGAUCAAACUAAUGUUACCUUCUGAUCUCCACAAACUUUACUGUUCAGUGAAGAGAAUCAAAGUUUGUUGAGGAUUUCUAAAAAACCCGCAGGUAAAGGUCUGAGAAGAACUCAGAUGGAUGGUCUAAAUGUGAAAUCAAGACUCAUGGUCACAAGUUUUAAGGCUUCUGUUAACCAGAAAGUUCAAAUUAACAGAGAACUACAGAGAAACUUUUAAAAUUUCAGUCCUCAGACGUUCUGAAGGUUCAAACUAACAGAGAACUACUGAAGAACUUUUAGGUUUUCAGUCCUCAGACUGUCUGUCUCAAUCGUACGACGUAGUGUGUAACUGUAUGCAGCACAGUGAGCCAGCAUACUCGUUUCUGUUUUCACGCCGUCUACAUCAACGGAAUGCACUGAAACUUUUCCCCCACUAGCUUAGCCUCGCCGUAGCACGCAGCUCAAAGGGGCGUGUCCUAUCUACUCAUUCAUAUCUAUGAGAACAACGGUGGCUGCACAUAAGGACGCCUGACAUUGAUUAGCUGCGUAAAUACCAUUAUAUACAGUCUAUGGUAAAUACGUAUGUGAAUCGCAUCAUUGGCUGCAGCAGCCAGUCACCUGUCACUCACUGACUCACAUUGAAAAAUAGCACAGAAUGAAUUGUUACGUGUUUAUUUUAUUUACAAUUUAGGUUGGAUUUUUUUUUUUGUGCGCAGCGCAGAUUUUCUGUGCACGGAGACCGUGUCAGCAGUGCGCAAUUGCGCAUGCGCGCAGCUUAGAGGGAACAGUGCUGGAGAGUGUUUGUGAUGCUGAAGCAGUGAUCAGUUUUUCUGUUUCUUCUCUGGAGAUGCACAAUGAGGGACGUCUGCAGAGACUGAGAAAGAAUCUCACCACAUCCUGACAUGAGGAAAAAGACUUUAUUGAAGACUACAAUGAGAAAAACUAUCAGACAGCAGACGGCUGCAUUCAAGGUGAGCUCUGAACAUUUGAUCUGGAACAGGAAUUCAAUAACGGCAGCAUGAGUUUCAUUUCAGCCUGUAGCUGCUGAAUUCAUGGAUGAAUCAUCUGGCACUAGAGAGGAAGACCAUCAAACAUCCACGUCAGCUGAUGGAGGUCCAAGAGUCUCACCAAAGAAACAACCUGCAGAGUGAAGACCUCGAAUCUGAUUGGACGGCCUCCUAUUCAGCCACAUGUGUGAACAAAUGCCUCUAAGCUGAUUUGUUUUCUAAAAUAAAUCUAGUUUGAGUCCUAAUCUAUGCCUGUGUGUUUGCUUCUUUACACCGCUGUUAACAGUUUAGGCUGUUAGAUUGUUCCAGAUAAGACAAGUACAAGAUACUUCAGAGCCGUUCUACCAUGAGCCUGACAGGAAGAACUCCAACAGCUACUGAAUGUUCCUGUGGUUCCCUCAAGGCUACAGGAGGAGCCCUACGAGGAUGAGCCUGUCCACCUGAUGGCAGCCAGUCGCUGCGGUUCAAAGGCAACACCGACUACGUGGACUUCUACUGGACCACACGGAGGCCUUCAAACCGGACCAACAAGUUCAGCGACUCCCCGACUCGUGGGUCUGAGGACGCUGCCGAGCCUCGGUCCAGCCGGCCUCCUGUCUGUGGGUGUUUGAGUGCUGAGAGAUGUUCAGAGGGAGAUGAUGCCACAUCUGGUCCAGCUGAUGGAAGGUCUUGAAGUUCUCUGACUGGCCUCGACUGAAGAUGGUCGUCUCACUGGAUUUAAGGUUCAGAUGUUCAGUAACAAACUCCACCAAUGUGCCAACGGGGAAGCUUUAGGUUUAUUAAAUGUUGCUAUGAAGGUAUCACUGUUUUUCUUUGUGAAUGCAAUGUGCUCCAACUGAAACUUGGAUUAGAACUUAGAAGUAAAUCCUUCCAUCUGAAAGGAUUUAGUUGCAUUAAUAACCUCACAACAUUCUAAUUUUUAUUCCAGUCUUGGUUGGAAAUAGAAUCUCUGUAUUGAUUCAGGUAAAAACUGAACUUCACAGCAUGUUGGAGCAAAACAACCAGAUGAAAACUGUGAUGGUGUUGGAUUGUCAGACCGUAAUGUUGCAGCUCAAAGCAGCUUUUCUAGCUCAGUUCAUUCUGACAUUCAGCUAUGAAUCAACACAGCAGAUGGUGAUCCAUGCUGUGGAAGUCUCACAUCUCCUGAUUUAAUGGAGCUGCUUUGCACUUUUUACAUUGUUUAUUCACCAACACUUUAUUUAAUGAAAGUCCCAUCUAGUUUUUAUGAGGAAUGUGAUGUUUUAAUUUCUCUGUGAAUAACUGCAGUCUAAUGCAACAGCUGGAGUUGUAACAUCUGUCCUGAUAUUGAUCAUCAAGUAUUGAUCAGAAUACUUAUGGUCAGCAGUCAUCCCUGAAGUUUUACAUUAAAAUCUUUACUUGUGUUGUGAACUUUGGUAAGAAGCAGAAAUGUUGGCGUUGCCAUGGAUACAUGAGUGUUAAAUUCUGUCCAUGUUUCCAUUUUGGGAAAUGCAGUCCAGUUCCAGAAUGUGGAGGAAUUUAGUCUCACAAUCACAGACAACAAAUAUUAUCUGAAAAUCGGGUUAUUGUUGUUUAUCAGCACAAUACAAAAAGAUUAAUGUUAGAAAUAUUCCAGUUAAGACUCUAGAAUAUCAUGAUUUAUGUAAAUUUACCUCAAUAAUAUGAAUGUUCAGGUUAAGAUUGUGCAGUGAUAUUUAUUAUGUAAGUUUAGCUGAUUAAAGUUUAUGACUCUGCACUAAAAUAUAAUUUAAAUUGACAUAAUUAUUAUAAUAUUUAGGGUCAGACCCUACAGUACUGAGAUUAAGAAAUCAAAUAUUCUAUAAAAUGUAAAUACACUGAACUCAUUUGGAUAUAUUUAAGUGAGACUCUACAAUAUUAUUUGACACAAAUCUAUCUAAAUCAAAACUUUGAUCAUUUUUACUCCAAACAUUUACUGGACUGAUUUAAAUAUUAAAAUCACUCCUUUCUAAUCCUCUGCUGUACGUUCAAACCUGAGGCCUUAAAUAGAAACACACAAGUAUCUGAUUGAAGGAACUUCUGCAGAGUCCUGGUUCCAGAACAUGAUGAUAGAAUUAUAGACAAACUUUAACAAAAGCUGCCUGAGAGUUUACAGGUUUUUAUCUUAGAUUUCUUCAGUAAUUUAAUGAGAGUUAUUAGCAAAAAUCAAGUGUUCAUUUGAUGAACUUCAUUUCCUAAAACAUCCAGAAUUUGACCUCAUAUCUUUGGCAGCUGUAAAGUUUCUGCUCCUUCAAAGUUCACAACACAAUGAAUGAAUUCCUAAAACACUCUCAAUGCUGGAGAGUGUUUGUGAUGCUGAAGCAGUGAUCAGUUUUUCUGUUUCUUCUCUGGAGAUGCACAAUGAGGGACGUCUGCAUAGACUGAGAAAGAGUCUCACCACAUCCUGACAUGAGGAAAAAGACUUUAUUGAAGACUACAAUGAGAAAAACUAUCAGACAGCAGACGGCUGCAUUCAAGUCUGUAGCUGCUGAAUUCAUGGAUGAAUCAUCUGGCACUAGAGAGGAAGACCAUCAAACAUCCACGUCAGCUGAUGGAGGUCCAAGAGUCUCACCGAACAACCAACCUACAGAGUGAAGACCUCGAAUCUGAUUGGACGGCCUCCUAUUCAGCCACAUGUGUGAACAAAUGCCUCUAAGCUGAUUUGUUUUCUAAAAUAAAUCUAGUUUCAGUCCUAA
This is a long non-coding RNA of Amphiprion ocellaris (clown anemonefish), 4167 nucleotides long. RefSeq lists it as uncharacterized. NCBI's taxonomy places the organism in Eukaryota, Metazoa, Chordata, Actinopteri, Pomacentridae. The transcript is spliced from 3 exons. The record is from RefSeq and is a predicted model, not a curated record.